GAUGAACGCUGGCGGCGUGCCUAAUACAUGCAAGUCGAGCGAACAGAUAAGGAGCUUGCUCCUUUGACGUUAGCGGCGGACGGGUGAGUAACACGUGGGUAACCUACCUAUAAGACUGGAAUAACUCCGGGAAACCGGGGCUAAUGCCGGAUAACAUUUAGAACCGCAUGGUUCUAAAGUGAAAGAUGGUUUUGCUAUCACUUAUAGAUGGACCCGCGCCGUAUUAGCUAGUUGGUAAGGUAACGGCUUACCAAGGCAACGAUACGUAGCCGACCUGAGAGGCUGAUCGGCCACACUGGAACUGAGACACGGUCCAGACUCCUACGGGAGGCAGCAGUAGGGAAUCUUCCGCAAUGGGCGAAAGCCUGACGGAGCAACGCCGCGUGAGUGAUGAAGGUCUUCGGAUCGUAAAACUCUGUUAUUAGGGAAGAACAAAUGUGUAAGUAACUGUGCACGUCUUGACGGUACCUAAUCAGAAAGCCACGGCUAACUACGUG
This 497-nucleotide ribosomal RNA is filed under the name uncultured bacterium. RNAcentral's name for it is "partial 16S ribosomal RNA". It matches the Rfam family "Bacterial small subunit ribosomal RNA", at positions 28 to 507 of the family's 1533-position model. The record is from RNAcentral.